UGGGGAAUUUUGGACAAUGGGGGAAACCCUGAUCCAGCCAUCCCGCGUGUGCGAUGAAGGCCUUCGGGUUGUAAAGCACUUUUGGCAGGAAAGAAACGUCAUGGGUUAAUACCCCGUGAAACUGACGGUACCUGCAGAAUAAGCACCGGCUAACUACGUGCCAGCAGCCGCGGUAAUACGUAGGGUGCAAGCGUUAAUCGGAAUUACUGGGCGUAAAGCGUGCGCAGGCGGUUCGGAAAGAAAGAUGUGAAAUCCCAGAGCUCAACUUUGGAACUGCAUUUAUAACUAACGGGCUAGAGUGUGUCAGAGGGCGGUGGUAUUCCGCGUGUAGCAGUAAAAUGCGUAGAUAUGCGGAGGAACACCGAUGGCGAAGGCAGCCUCCUGGGAUAACACUGACGCUCAUGCACGAAAGCGUGGGGAGCAAACAGG
This 429-nucleotide ribosomal RNA is filed under the name Acidobacteriota bacterium. Its description in RNAcentral is "Acidobacteria bacterium partial 16S ribosomal RNA". It matches the Rfam family "Bacterial small subunit ribosomal RNA", at positions 355 to 776 of the family's 1533-position model. Lineage: Bacteria; Pseudomonadati; Acidobacteriota. The record is from RNAcentral.